GGUGUGGUGGCUAAGGGGAAGGCAUUGGUCUUGUAAACCAAAGAUCAUGGGUUCAAAUCCCAUCCGUGCCU
Molecule: non-coding RNA, 71 nt
Organism: Albula glossodonta (roundjaw bonefish)
Lineage: Eukaryota; Metazoa; Chordata; Actinopteri; Albuliformes; Albulidae
Source: the annotation of a GenBank genome assembly